CAGUAGCCGCGGUAAUACAGAGGGUGCAAGCGUUAAUCGGAAUUACUGGGCGUAAAGCGCGCGUAGGUGGUUUGUUAAGUUGGAUGUGAGAUCCCCGGGCUCAACCUGGGAACUGCAUUCAAAACUGACUGACUAGAGUAUGGUAGAGGGUGGUGGAAUUUCCUGUGUAGCGGUGAAAUGCGUAGAUAUAGGAAGGAACACCAGUGGCGAAGGCGACCACCUGGACUAAUACUGACACUGAGGUGCGAAAGCGUGGGGAGCAAACAGGAUUAGAUACCCGCGUAGUCCCUGUCUCUUAUAC
RNAcentral lists this ribosomal RNA (301 nucleotides) under uncultured bacterium. RNAcentral's name for it is "partial 16S ribosomal RNA". It matches the Rfam family "Bacterial small subunit ribosomal RNA", at positions 509 to 807 of the family's 1533-position model. The record is from RNAcentral.